GAUGAACGCUGGCGGCGUGCCUAAUACAUGCAAGUCGAGCGAACAGACAAGGAGCUUGCUCCUCUGACGUUAGCGGCGGACGGGUGAGUAACACGUGGAUAACCUACCUAUAAGACUGGGAUAACUUCGGGAAACCGGAGCUAAUACCGGAUAAUAUAUUGAACCGCAUGGUUCAAUAGUGAAAGACGGUUUUGCUGUCACUUAAAGAUGGAUCCGCGCCGCAUUAGCUAGUUGGUAAGGUAACGGCUUACCAAGGCAACGAUGCGUAGCCGACCUGAGAGGGUGAUCGGCCACACUGGAACUGAGACACGGUCCAGACUCCUACGGGAGGCAGCAGUAGGGAAUCUUCCGCAAUGGGCGAAAGCCUGACGGAGCAACGCCGCGUGAGUGAUGAAGGUCUUCGGAUCGUAAAACUCUGUUAUUAGGGAAGAACAAAUGUGUAAGUAACUAUGCACGUCUUGACGGUACCUAAUCAGAAAGCCACGGCUAACUACGUG
RNAcentral lists this ribosomal RNA (497 nucleotides) under uncultured bacterium. RNAcentral's name for it is "partial 16S ribosomal RNA". It matches the Rfam family "Bacterial small subunit ribosomal RNA", at positions 28 to 507 of the family's 1533-position model. The record is from RNAcentral.